UAUAUUUUUUCUUAAUAUAGCAGAAAGUCGAAUUUUCCGUUAGUUUGUUACGAGUUGUAGGCAAUUUCGGAACUUCCGUGUAUCAAAUAUUUUCUAAAAGGAUUUGGUUGCCGUUUAUAGCGCCACUACAUUUUAUUUCUGUCACAAAAAUUCAAAAAGAAAAUUUGAUUUUCCAUAAAAGCAUAUAUUAUAAUAUAAAUAAGCGUUAGGAAUUUUUAUUUUAUUUUAAAUUACAUCAACGUUAGUAGUACUAGUUAGUAAAAGAUGACGAGUAAAAGUAGAAGAGAAGAGUUAAUGCAGAACUACGCUCUCCCCAGUGAUUAGUCGACAUGGAGAAAAGCAACUGGAAAUUAAUUUGAGAACCACUGAAGCAACAAAUUGUCUGCAAUCUUUCUGGAUUUUGCUUACCCAUUACACUUGUAAACUUUAGAAUGUUACUUUCUUCAAUUAACAGAGGUGAGAACAUAUGAUAUAAUUAAUAUUAAUUCGUCUUUAUUAAUCUGUGAGCACCCUAUCGGUUUCAGUUUUUGUAGUUUAUUUUAAACAGCGAGUUGGUUGUAGUUUUUCUCUUAUUUGUUUUAUUUUUUAUAAGAACGAUUACUUUUAAUUGCAUAUUCAUCGGAUGUAUGAUACAUAUCAAUAUGUUUAGGCAAAUAGCCGCAAUUUUGUGUGAAACAAUGUUUUUUUAUUUUUUUUAUUCAUGAAAAUAAUGUGUGUAUGUGCUCUCAUACUUAUCAUUUUCAGAGAAAGAUGUGCAAAAAUUUUGUAAAAAAGCAUGUAAAUAAAUUAUAGAGCUUUUGUACAACACUUA
Long non-coding RNA from Agrilus planipennis (emerald ash borer), 811 nucleotides. RefSeq lists it as uncharacterized. The record is from RefSeq and is a predicted model, not a curated record. The transcript is spliced from 2 exons. NCBI's taxonomy places the organism in Eukaryota, Metazoa, Arthropoda, Insecta, Coleoptera, Buprestidae.